GACGAACGCUGGCGGCGUGCCUAACACAUGCAAGUCGAACGAGGUCCAUGCAGUGGCAACACUGCGGAAGACCUAGUGGCGAACGGGUGAGUAACACGUGAGGAACCUGCCCCGAAGACCGGGAUAACUCUCCGAAAGGAGCGCUAAUACCGGAUACCCCCACCUAACCGCAUGGUCUGGUGAGGAAAUGGAUUCCGCUUCGGGAGGGCCUCGCGGCCUAUCAGCUAGUUGGUGGGGUAACGGCCCACCAAGGCAUCGACGGGUAGCUGGUCUGAGAGGACGAUCAGCCACACUGGGACUGAGACACGGCCCAGACUCCUACGGGAGGCAGCAGUGGGGAAUCUUGCGCAAUGGGCGAAAGCCUGACGCAGCAACGCCGCGUGGGGGAUGAAGGCUUUCGGGUUGUAAACCCCUUUCAGCAGGGACGAAUCAAGACGGUACCUGCAGAAGAAGCCCCGGCUAACUACGUG
RNAcentral lists this ribosomal RNA (470 nucleotides) under uncultured bacterium. RNAcentral's name for it is "bacterial SSU rRNA". It matches the Rfam family "Bacterial small subunit ribosomal RNA", at positions 28 to 507 of the family's 1533-position model. The record is from RNAcentral.